CGAAAACAAUCUCUCUACUCUCAUAAAGGUGAGUCGAGGGUGUAUCGGAAAUAUCUCUCUACCCCAUAAAGGUGGGGGCAAGGUUUGUUUACAUUCUGUCCUCCUCAAGAUCCUAUAUCCUAUCGAAAUAGUUAAUUUUCAAUCAAAAAUUCAAUGCCAUACUGUCGAAUUCGAGCUUAAUGUCUAAGCUACAAGGCGAUCGUAAAGGUAUUUACAAUCAAAUUUGCUAGUAAUGUUGAAAUAAACAUUAAUUAGUUCAAGUAGCUAUAACUUUCGCUUCGAAAAAUUAAAAGCGAAAGGAUCAAAAACACACUUAAAACAUCUGGAUUUUGAACUUUCUGAGUAAAAAUCACUUAAAUAUCUCGAUUUUGAACUAUCAGAGUCGAAACACAUGAACUAUUUGUCAAAACACACAUAUUCCACGUAGGAAAAUGAACUAGUCAACAAACUUAAAGGACUAAAAAUGUAAAAUGCUUACUUAAUGGACUAUUUUGAACCUACCUCAAAUAUAAAGGGACCAUUGUUGUAAUUACGCAUUAUAUAAAUAGCAAAAUUGAGCAUUUCAAAAUUCAAAAAUUCACCACAGAGAGUUCACUUUCCAAAGCUUCGAGAUGGUACGCUUACAUGUAAAGCACGGCUGCGGCGGCGACUACGGCGGCGGUGGUGGCGGUGACGGCGGCGCCGGUGAGUUUCUGUACGAAACUGAAACGAGUUCAAUGAUUGAUGAAAUCGCCAAUCAUAUCAUCGAAAUCGCGAAUCUCCAAUCGAAGAUUCAAUGCUUAGCUGGCGAAUUUGAACCUUGUCUCUCAAAGCUUCAAGGUGAUCCUAAAGUGAUGCCUCUGGUAAGAGCUCUCUCCGAAGCUAUGUCGUAUGCUUCCAAGGAUCAGGUUGUACAUAACAAGCCUCUAUCAAUUUAUGUGCUGCGCGAUCACACAAGAAGCAUUGAGAAAGAAUUCUUGGUAACGUAUUCAGUGAUGGGAUUAUCAAGUCCCGAUCUACAGCAGUUCCUGUCAGACUUGCAGAUCCUUGAAGAAAACACAGUGCAACUUUUAUGGGCAGGAAAAGAGCUCACCAGAGGGAAAAAGUUGUGUGACUUUAUAGGAAGAAAUGAGAAAACAAAGAUUGUAAUCAGGCUGCAGUCACUUAUUCCACCUCCUGCAUCACUUUCUGGUGGGGAAAAAUCUUGAAAUAAAAUGAUGACGUCUGGGCUUUGAACGACUUUCAAUUCAGGAAACACACUCUUGAAUGGAUUUCGUGUUUGUUGGGUGCAUUCUUUCCUGUCUGAGCUACAAAGGUCAAUGAUGAAAGAGAGUUCACCUGAGGAAUCGACCCUUGGUCGCGUGGAUGGAAGUGCAGGCGUCAACCAACACACCAAGGUGCACUAUUUGUCAACUAUGGAUGCACUAUAGUAUAUAUUCCAAUUUAUCAAGAAGGAAAAAUAAACAAUGUCACUUCUCACCACUGAAGAUCUCGGGUUCUGGAGUGGUUAGUACUCCUUCAUCCUUAACCAGGUAUCUCGAGUUUAAGUUUUGGGUAUGGAGUUGUUUUUUGUAGGAAGCGCUUUACCCGCUUAAUGGGACUUCUCGACGCGAAUCUAGAUUAGUCGGAUUUCAAUGUGGGUACUGGACAUCGAGUGAGAAAUCAAAAAAAAAAGUGUCACUUCUCAUCACCAAAGGUUGUGGCAGAGUGGUAAGUACUCCUCUAUCCUGAACCAGAUGUCUCGGGUUCAAACCCUGAAUAUGGAGUCGUCACCAAGUGGAAACCUAAAAGCACAAUGUCACUUCUCAUCACCAAAGAUUGUGGUGGAGCAGUAAGUAUUUCUCUAUCCUUGACCAAAUGUUUGGGGUUCACUUCCUGGAUAUGGAGUCGUCGCCGAAAUACAAUGUCACUUUGAUAAAGAGCGCUUUACAUAGUGACACUUCCCCAACACAAAUACAAAUUACUCGGACUCUAAUGUGAGUACCAAAACUCUGAAUAUAGAGUCGUCUUUGAUAAAAAAUGCUUUACAUAAUGAUACUUUCCCAACAUAAAUUCAAAUUACUCAAGCUUUAAUAUGGAUGUCGAACACACUCAUUGAAAAACUAAAAGAAAGAAACAAUGUCACUUCUCUCCAUAGUAUUAUAUGGUGGUCCUUUUACCUAAAUGUGUUCACUUGUCUGUGUCUUUUUGAAUAUAAAUAAUAAUUUAUGCACAAAAUCAAGAAAAAGAAUAUUAAAAAAAUAAUAAUGAAUAAUUAGAUUGUUGACAUUGAACUACUAAUAAGUACUAAUAAAGAAAAGAAAGAAACAAGAAAAACACACGAUCCGACAGGUGAUGGUGGAGGAUGAGAAAGGUUGGAACUCGAGAGUAAUAUUUUUUUCUAAGUCUUUUCAAGUUUUUGAAACUUCCCCACUCAUUAUAAAAUUUUAUAGUAUACUUUUUAUAUUUUUGUCAUUAGAAAGUCACGGGUUUAAUUCAUGAAAAUACUCAUCGACAGUAAUGUAGGUGUAAGAUUGCUGUGUACAAUAAAUUCUUUUGGUUCAAUCUUUUUUUUGAACCCCUAGCAUAGCGGAAGUUUUAAUGCAUCAGACUACUCUUGCUUGAACAUUGUUGAGGUCAGGAACUAUCGGAAACAACCUCUUUACCUCACAAGGUAAGGAUAAGGUUUACAUGUAGUAUACUUUUACAUUUUUGUGAUCAAAAAGUCACACGUUUAAGUCAUGAAAACAUUCCCAGGGUAGUAAUGUAGGGUAAGACUGGUGCGUACAAAAAUUCUUGUGGUUCAGUCUUUUUUCGAACCUCUCGCAUGGCGAGAGCUUUAAUGUAUCAAACUACUCUUGCUUGUACAUUCUUGAGGUCAAGAACUAUCAGAAACAACCUCUUUACCUCACAAGGUAAGGAUAAAGUCUACAUAUAUUUUACAGUGAUGUAGGAUAAGACUGUUGCGUAUAAUAAAUUUUUGUUUCAGACUUUCUCCGAACUUCUAGCAUAGAGGGAGGUUUAAUGUGUCAAAUUGCUCUUGCUUGUACAUUCUUGAGGCCAGGAAUUAUUGGAAACAACCUUUUUAUCUCACAAGGUAAGAAUAAGGUCUACAUAUAUUUUAUUCUUCUCAGUCUCACUUAUAGAAUCACAUUGGAUAUGCUCUUGUUAUAUUGUUUAUCAAAAACAAUCUCUAUACUUCACAUGGUAGAAAUAAGAUCUUUUUACACACUGCAUCCUUUCUUACCCCAGUCACAUUAUAUUGGGUAUGUUAUUAUUAUAUUAUACUUCUACAAUGUUUUGAUAUCUUGUAUUAAAUCCUGCCUAACUGAUAUGACAUCUAUGUAUCUAAUAUGUUGGCUCAAGUCCGUUAAAAAGAUAUUCUUAACAUAAUGUGAUGCAAUUUAGUUUAGCCAAAGCUCAGGUGAUUUAUUUCCAUUAGUCCUUACAAAAUUAAGAGUAUCGCUAAAACAUCUAUGUAAUUUCACAAUCUUCUCAGCUAUCAGCGUGAUACUUUGUCCACAUACCUAAUAAUCUUCUCUCAAACUAUGUUUCAAUGAGUCGCACUAUCACGAUUUUCGAGAUUCACUGUGUGCCACCCAUGAUAUGAUCGAACAUUUAUGACCGGUAUAUUGGAGAUUAGAGCUAGCUUAUUCUUGUAUGCGUGUAUCUUCAAACUACCUUUGGCAUGAUAAACGUAGUAAAUCAAACUCCACUCCGACUCUAAUACCCGUUGUUGGGCUACGCUAGCCAAAAAGGUACUCUUAUAACAUAGUGCAACACCUUUGGCAUGAUAAACGUAGUAAAUUAAGUUCCACUCCUGUUCAUAAUAUCCGUUGUUGGGCUACGUCAGCCAAAAAGGCACUUAUAACAUAGUGCAACACCUUCGGCAUGAUACACGUAGUAAAUCAAGUUCCACUCCGGCUCAUAAUACCGGUUGUUGGCCUGCGUCAGCCAAAUAGGUACUCUUAUAACAUAGUGCAACACCUUCGGCAUGGUAAACGUAGUAAAUCAAGUUCCACUCCGGCUCAUAAUACCCGUUGUUGGGUUAUGUCAGCCAAAAAGGUAUUCUUAUAACACCUUCGGCAUGGUAAACGUAGUAAAUCAAGUUUCAUUGCGACUCUAAUACCCGUUGUUGGGUUACGCCAGCCAAAAGGUACUCUUGUAACAUAGUGAAAUAUUAUCUGCUUUAUGUCAAGCUUGUAGGUUUUCUUUUCUCGAAAAGCAUCCCACCAUUAAUUAAGAAUAUCUCCACAUAUUAUAUGUAGAUUCUUUUUUUCUUUCAACUAGCAAUAGGAGACUUUGUUCGAAUACCCAAAAUAAUAUAGUAUUUCGAUAUAACUUAUACAUAAAAUUGUAUAUUAUUUUAAUGAUAUAAUAAGGAGUAAAGCAUUUAGUACUCCUGAACUAUGAUUAAAUUUGCUACGACACACUCUUAUUUCACGAGAGCUUUAUUACCCGCUGAACUAAAUUUUAACGUAUUUUUGUCAAUCUUUUUAGCUGACGUGACACCUUUGAUGUGGGCUCCAUUUUAUGUAAUAAAGGUGCCGUGUCAGCAUAAAAGGGGGAUAAAAAUAUGUUAAAAUUGAGUUUCGAGAAUAAUAGGACCCCUGUGAAGUUAGGUGUGUGGUAGCAACUUUGGCUAUAGUUCGAGAGAAUACUGGAUACUUAUCUCUUAUUUUAAUUUUAAUGAUAUAAUAACAGUAUCUACACAGUGAACCAUUGCUUUCAAAUUGCAAAUUAGUUUGCCUCUGAGAACACCAAGAGGCACAACUUUUUUUUUUUUUAAUUUCCAAGAGAGACAGAAAAGGAAAUGAAAGAGCAAUUACAGGCACAUUGUGGAUUAUUUAUGACCCACCAAUAACAGAAAUUCUGGAUGUUGUUAGUUCCAUUUUUUUUCAUGUCAAAUAAAACAACAAAAAAAAUAUUUAUAAACUUUUCAGAUUUGUUGAAACAGUGAGGGCCCUCAUUGUUGGAUAUCUUCAUGUGACAUGAAGAAAGUUGAUAGACACCUUCUAAGAUUAAUUAACAACCUCAAAAUAUGCACGUUUGGCUUGUCAUUUUCGCCAAAGAAGUUGCACCGGCGAAUUCAGAAUUUGAACUUUAUAGAUUCGUGCAACCAUCUCAAGUUAAUACUAUACAAGAGAUAAGCGUCCAGUACCCCUCGAACUAUAGCCAAAGUUGCUGCGACGCACUCCAACUUCACAUGGGUCCUAUUAUCCCCUGAACUCAAUUUUAGCGUAUUUUUAUCACCCUUUUGUGUUGACGUGACACGUUUAUUACAUAAAAUAGAGUCCACUUCAAAGGUGCCACGUAAGCUAAAAAGGAUGAUAAAAGGUGCUAUGCCAGCUAAAAAGGUUGAUAAAAAUACGCUAAAAUUUAGUUCGGGAGGUAAUAGGACCCAUGUGAAGUUGAAGUGUGUCGCAACAAAUUUGAUCAUAAUUCAGGGGUUAAUAAAUGCUUUACUCUUAUAUAAUAAUUGAGCUUUUAGUUGAAUAUAUAUAGAUAUUUAAUGUUUGUUUUUUUUUUGUUAUAUAUAGGGUAUGAUGAGCAAAAGUUAUUGAGUUCUCGUGAAACUGUAGAUUGUACUCUAGAUGUGCGACUAUUAGAGGAUAGGCAGAGGCGGACCUACAUUGAGUGCACCCGCUAGCCUCGAGAAAAACUCUGUAUAUAUGGUUUGUAUAUCUAUAUAUAUAUCAAAGUAUUAUGUUAAAUAUAUAUUGUGCACCCACAAUAACAACUAGGUUGGCUGGUGAGAUGGUUUGGUAUGCCACUUGAAAGUUGCUCUUAAUGUGUGAUUGCUCAGGUUCGAGCCCUAGCAACAACGUUUUAUUGCUCCUUUUAUCAUUUUUCAAUUUUCUAUUGCGUGAUUGCUCAGGUUCGAACCCCAACAACAAUGUUUCUUUAUUGCUCCUUUUUUCAUUUUCCAAUUUUCUAUUGUGUGAUUGCUCAGGUUCGAACUCCA
Molecule: RNA transcript, 5923 nt
Organism: Capsicum annuum
Lineage: Eukaryota; Viridiplantae; Streptophyta; Magnoliopsida; Solanales; Solanaceae
Gene name: cilia- and flagella-associated protein 298
Exons: 9
Source: RefSeq, a predicted model, not a curated record